This is a long non-coding RNA of Erinaceus europaeus (western European hedgehog), 532 nucleotides long. RefSeq lists it as uncharacterized. The record is from RefSeq and is a predicted model, not a curated record. NCBI's taxonomy places the organism in Eukaryota, Metazoa, Chordata, Mammalia, Eulipotyphla, Erinaceidae. The transcript has 2 exons.
GAAAUCUAAGUGUACUCUGUACAGGUAUUACUAUGCAAAGUCAGAAAUACUAAGCAAGGGUUUCUUUCUUUCUCUCUUCCCUUUUUUUCUUUAUUCCUUUCUUAUUGCCACCAGGGUUAUCACUGAGACUCAGUGCCUACAUGACAAACCCACUGCUCUCAGAAGCCAAUCUUUCCUUCCUGCUCUCUCUCUCUCUCUCUCCUUCACUCUCUCCCUCCCUCUCUCUCUUUUCCCUUUUAUUUUAUAGGACAGAGAGAAAUUGAGAGAAAGGGGGAGAUAGAGGGUGACACCUGCAGCACUGCUUCACCACUCAUGAAGCUUCCCCCCCUACAGCACAACUUGGCUCUGGCUUCCAUAGCUGCAGAGGGUGAAGCUGGAGUCCAGGGUCUCCGAUAUUUAAGUUUUUUUGCAUAACCACUGUGUUAUUUUAACUUAUACAUUAAAGUCCUUUGCAUAACUACAAUACUGUCUCCCCACAUGCUUAAUGACUCUGCAAUAUGAGAUGGAAGAUUAAAGUCUCACAUAACCUUUA